RNAcentral lists this ribosomal RNA (375 nucleotides) under uncultured bacterium. RNAcentral describes it as "bacterial SSU rRNA". It matches the Rfam family "Bacterial small subunit ribosomal RNA", at positions 521 to 896 of the family's 1533-position model. The record is from RNAcentral.
UAAUACGAGGUGGACAAACGUUAUUCGGAUUUACUGGGCUUAAAGCGUGCGUAGGCGGCUCAGAAAGUUGGGUGUGAAAGCCCUCGGCUCAACCGAGGAAUUGCGCUCAAAACUACUGAGCUCGAGGGAGAUAGGGGAGAGCGGAACUGAUGGUGGAGCGGUGAAAUGCGUUGAUAUCAUCAGGAACACCGGUGGCGAAGGCGGCUCUCUGGAUCUCUUCUGACGCUGAGGCACGAAAGCUAGGGGAGCAAACGGGAUUAGAUACCCCGGUAGUCCUAGCCUUAAACGAUGAGCACUAGAUCGAAGAUCCUCACAGAUUUUUGGUCGUAGCGAAAGUGUUAAGUGCUCCGCCUGGGGAGUAUGGUCGCAAGGCUG